This 454-nucleotide ribosomal RNA is filed under the name Neoscona pseudonautica. Its description in RNAcentral is "partial 16S ribosomal RNA". It matches the Rfam family "Bacterial large subunit ribosomal RNA", at positions 1849 to 2624 of the family's 2925-position model. The record is from RNAcentral. Lineage: Eukaryota; Metazoa; Arthropoda; Arachnida; Araneae; Araneidae.
UAUAGGAAACCUGCUCAUGAAUUAAUUUAAAUAGCCGCGGAAAUUUAACCGUGGCUAAGGUAGCAUAAUCAUUAGCCUCUUAAUUAGAGGCUCGCAUGAAUGGUAAAACAUUUCAAUAUCUAUAUUAAUUAUAAAUCUUUAAUUUAAAUUAAGAAUUAAAAUGUUCUUAUGAUAUAAAUAGACGACAAGACCCUUUUGAACUUAACUUCAGUUUAGCUGGGGCAGCUAAUAAAAAAUUAUCUUUUUCCAUCUAUUUUAUUAAAUGACCCAAUAAAAUUGAUUUAUUGAACAAGUUACCAUAGGGAUAACAGCGUAAUAUUUUUCUAAAGUUCUUAUUUAAAAAAAUGAUUGCGACCUCGAUGUUGAAUUAAUGUUACUUUACAGAUGCAAUAAUUUUAUAAGUAGGUCUGUUCGACCUUUAAAUCAUUACAUGAUCUGAGUUCAAAACCGGAGA